This 392-nucleotide unclassified non-coding RNA is filed under the name soil metagenome. Its description in RNAcentral is "partial contains 5.8S ribosomal RNA, internal transcribed spacer 2, and large subunit ribosomal RNA". The stretch from base 2 to 123 matches the Rfam family "5.8S ribosomal RNA", at positions 35 to 154 of the family's 154-position model. The record is from RNAcentral.
GGAUGAAGAACGCAGCGAAAUGCGAUACUUGGUGUGAAUUGCAGAAUCCCGUGAACCAUCGAGUCUUUGAACGCAAGUUGCGCCCGAAGCCACUAGGCCGAGGGCACGCCUGCCUGGGCGUCACACGCCGUUGCCCCCCCAUCUACUCCUUCGGGAUUGCGGGGGGGCGGAUGAUGGCCUCCUGUGCGCCUAGCCGCGCGGUUGGCAUAAAUACCAAGUCCUCGGCGACGCACGCCACGACAAUCGGUGGUUGCGAAACCUCGGUUGCCCGUCGUGUGCGUUCGUCGCGCAUCGAGGGCUCGAAAAAAUGCUCGGCUCCGGCUGGGCUUUCAACGCGACCCCAGGUCAGGCGGGGUUACCCGCUGAAUUUAAGCAUAUCAAUAAGCGGAGGA